AGGAUUAACGCUGGCGGCGUGCCUAACACAUGCAAGUCGAACGAGGUAGCAAUACCUAGUGGCAGACGGGUGAGUAACGCGUGGUCAACCUACCGUUGAGUGGGGGAUAACUAGCCGAAAGGUUAGCUAAUACCGCAUACGUCUCCGAGGGGCAUCCCUUGGCGAUAAAAGGAGCAAUCCGCUCGAUGACGGGACCGCGUCCCAUUAGCUAGAUGGUGGGGUAACGGCCUACCAUGGCACCGAUGGGUAGCUGGUUUGAGAGAGCGACCAGCCACACUGGGACUGAGAAACGGCCCAGACUCCUACGGGAGGCAGCAGUGAGGAAUUUUCCGCAAUGGGCGCAAGCCUGACGGAGCGACGCCGCGUGUGGGAAGAAGGCCUUCGGGUCGUAACCACUGUCGAAGGGGACUAUACUGAAGGUACCCUUGGAGGAAGCCCCGGCUAACUACGUGCCAGCAGCCGC
Molecule: ribosomal RNA, 463 nt
Filed under: uncultured bacterium
Lineage: Bacteria
Description: SSU rRNA
Rfam family: Bacterial small subunit ribosomal RNA
Source: RNAcentral